RNAcentral lists this ribosomal RNA (433 nucleotides) under uncultured bacterium. RNAcentral describes it as "partial 16S ribosomal RNA". It matches the Rfam family "Bacterial small subunit ribosomal RNA", at positions 29 to 507 of the family's 1533-position model. The record is from RNAcentral.
AACGAACGCUGGCGGCAUGCCUAACACAUGCAAGUCGAACGAGACCUUCGGGUCUAGUGGCGCACGGGUGCGUAACGCGUGGGAAACUGCCCUUGGGUUCGGAAUAACAGGUGGAAACGACUGCUAAUACCGGAUGAUGACGUAAGUCCAAAGAUUUAUCGCGCAAGGAGGAGCCCGCGUAGGAUUAGCUAGUUGGUGAGGUAAAGGCUCCUCACGGCGACGAUCCGUAGCUGGUCUGAGAGGAGGAGCAGACACACUGGGAGUGAGAGACGGCCCAGACUCUUGGGCGAGGCAGGAGAGGGGAAUAUAGCAAUGUGGGCUAAAGCCUGAUGGAGCUCGGCCGGGAGAGUAAUGAAGGCCUGAGCGAUGUAAAGCGCUUUUACCCGGCGUGAUAAUGACGGUACCGGGAGAAUAAGCACCGGCUAACUCUGUG